GGGGGUUUAGCUCAGUUGGUAGAGCAUACGCUUAGCAUGUGUAAGGUCGUGAGUUCAAUCCUUACAGCCUCCA
This 73-nucleotide transfer RNA is filed under the name Mrakia frigida. Its description in RNAcentral is "tRNA-Ala (AGC) (tRNA-Ala-AGC-1 1 to 5)". It matches the Rfam family "tRNA". From Rfam's summary of the family: Transfer RNA (tRNA) molecules are approximately 80 nucleotides in length. Lineage: Eukaryota; Fungi; Basidiomycota; Tremellomycetes; Cystofilobasidiales; Mrakiaceae. The record is from RNAcentral.